This is a long non-coding RNA of Cyprinus carpio carpio, 2162 nucleotides long. NCBI's taxonomy places the organism in Eukaryota, Metazoa, Chordata, Actinopteri, Cypriniformes, Cyprinidae. The record is from Ensembl.
GAAACUUGUGUUGGGGAGGAUUCAGUGUCUGUUGAGGUCCAUGUGAAUGUGCUACAAAGUGAGUAUCAGAAAACACAUCCAGACACCUGGACUGUCAAAGACCACACGGCACGAACAUUCUCCUGGAGACGCUGAGAAAGCACGGAAGGAAUGUCUGUGGAGGAUGUACUCAAACACACCCAUACUUAAGGACACCUGCUGGAGAGGAGGGUUCAGUGUGGUGACAGAAGAUGGAAUAGACGUGUGCCAGUGCACCAGCCUUGAUGAAGCCUUCAUAACAGCCUUCUGGAUGUAUUUUGUUUUCAACAUUACAUAUCCAACAUACCUGAGAAAGACACUGACUUUCCUUCAGAGGCACACUGUCAACAUUAGAAGAUGGAGACAAGCACUGCCAGUAACUUUACUCUGAAUGAUUAGCCUUGUGUUUUAGAUCCUCAUGCCUCAACUCUACCAUUGGCCAAAGUGCACUCGAAGGACAUUCACUCUUUUGAAGUUAAUCCAACAUGUUGGAGUUGUACAUGCACAUGAACCAAAUUUUAGUAUAACCUGUGGUAUAGAUGAGUGCCAGUCAACUUUUUUGUGAUUCCAUUCUUUUAGAAAACAUGCACAGGAAUCAUAUGUACUUUUGGUAACAAAAAUGACAGUCUCAGUGAAGAGUCUGCAGUACAAUUAUAUUAUAAUAUAAUGGAGAAGGGUCUGGCUGCAGACUUGCACUCUCAGACACUUGCGCUUCUGCUAGUGACAACACUUGCAGUCUUUUUUAAUUUGUAUUUAGUUAUACUUAUUGGUUACUUUUUGUUUGAAUCUCUCAACAUCUGUUUUUUCUCUUGUGUAGGUAUCAUUGACUGGAAGUCUGUCAGUCCAGAUGUGAGGAAGACCUACAGAGUGAGUUUGAGCUCAGCAGGUGUGAUAGCUGUGGAUACAUCUACAGAAACACCACUGGAUACUGUAGCCAUGGAAAGAAGGGGGUCUUCACAGCUUUCUAUUCAGACAAAGAGUUUGCUGGAUUCUGUUCUAUGGACUGCUACUACAGAAUGAAUGAAUGAAUGAGUGGUUUAUCUAUCUAUCUAUCUAUCUAUCUAUCUAUCUAUCUAUCUAUCUAUCUAUCUAUCUAUCUAUCUAUCUAUCUAUAUAUUUAAUUUUUUUUACUUGAAUUGGCGGCUGAAACUGAAAGCUAAAUAAAUGUUUUAGUUGAUAAAGCUGUGUCUGUUUGCUUAUGUCACUUAACAUAAGGUUACUAAACUCUUCUGACCAAUUUUUAAAUUUUAUAAUUUAGUGGUUUUGUCAACUAUGUAUUUUUCUCUAUCAGGCAAAACAUUUUUUGAGGGUAACACUUUACAAUAAGGUUUCAUUUGCUGACACUGAUGUAUUAACUAACAUUAACUAUGAGCAAUACAUUUGAUACAGUGUUUAUUAAACUUUGUUAGUUAAUAAAAAUACAGCUGUUCGUUGUUUGUUCUUGUUAGUUCACUUCACAGUGCUUUAACUAAUGUUAACAAAUACAACUUUUGACUUUAACUUAAGAACAGCUAGUGCGACUAACCGUGUUAAGAGACGUUUGUAUUCUCGAAAAAUAAUUGUAAUUUGUUUUUGAUUAUUGAUAAAUCAAGACCUAAACUUCCGGCGAUGACGUCAGUAACCCGCGCCAUGCAGAAGUUUUGAAGGUACUUUCAAAAGUAAUUUAAAAUAAUAUUCUUAAUCUCAUUAACGCCGUUUUUACCUUGGAAGAAUUACAUUUGGAUUAUGUUGAAUAUAUGGUUUCCUUUUAAUCUGCGAUUAAGAGUAUAUGCCUCGCCACCUUUUUUUUUUUUUUUUACAGCCAUCUUUCGCAUUACCUUUUGGCACGCCCCCUACCUUUCGUUUCACCAAUGAAAACCCUUUUGGCACGCCCCACACCUUUCGGCACGCCCCCACCUUUUGGCACGCCCAUUUCUCCAGGCUGCAGUUACCCCUACUUGGUCGGCGCUGUACUCUUGCUUGAACUAUUUUUGUUCUUGGUGGAAGCUUUGCAUAGGAUAAUACAUGUGUGCUGUAGUUGACGAUCACCUGCAAUAAUUUGAGUUAAAGUCAUGUUACUUUACUAUUACACAUUAAGUGUUUGCAGUUUUAUAUUAAGAAAUAUUCCUUCUCAGUGGACUCAAAUGAAAUAAGUUAACCAAAUG